CCGGUGGUAGCUCAAUGGCGGAGCAGGCGGCUGUAGACCGCAAGGCUGGGGGUUCAAAUCCCUCUCACCGGA
RNAcentral lists this transfer RNA (72 nucleotides) under Candidatus Woesearchaeota archaeon. RNAcentral describes it as "tRNA-Tyr". It matches the Rfam family "tRNA". From Rfam's summary of the family: Transfer RNA (tRNA) molecules are approximately 80 nucleotides in length. Their secondary structure includes four short double-helical elements and three loops (D, anti-codon, and T loops). Lineage: Archaea; Nanobdellati; Candidatus Woesearchaeota. The record is from RNAcentral.